Molecule: small RNA, 1911 nt
Filed under: Pongo abelii (Sumatran orangutan)
Lineage: Eukaryota; Metazoa; Chordata; Mammalia; Primates; Hominidae
Description: retained intron
Source: RNAcentral
CCUUCCUGUUCUUGUUCUCCCUCAUCUUCCUCUUCCUUCUUCUCCCUCUUCUUCCUCUUCACUCUGCUCUCCUCUCUUCUUUUCCCCUUUCCUCUCCUCUCCCUUUCCUCAGGUCACAGCGGAGUGAAUCAGCUCGGUGGUGUCUUUGUCAACGGGCGGCCACUGCCGGACUCCACCCGGCAGAAGAUUGUAGAGCUAGCUCACAGCGGGGCCCGGCCGUGCGACAUUUCCCGAAUUCUGCAGGUGUCCAACGGAUGUGUGAGUAAAAUUCUGGGCAGGUAUUACGAGACUGGCUCCAUCAGACCCAGGGCAAUCGGUGGUAGUAAACCGAGAGUAGCGACUCCAGAAGUUGUAAGCAAAAUAGCCCAGUAUAAGCGGGAGUGCCCGUCCAUCUUUGCUUGGGAAAUCCGAGACAGAUUACUGUCCGAGGGGGUCUGUACCAACGAUAACAUACCAAGUGUAAGUUCAUUGAGAACAUCUGCCCUCCCUGCCCUAAGCCCAAUGCUCUCUCCUCUUUACCUCCUCCCACCCACUUUCUCCACUGUCUCUUAGUCUGUGUCCUCUCCCUGCUCCACAUUUGUCUCCUUUGUACCUGGGGGAACAGAGAGGAAUGCCCUGACCUUUCUUUGACUGUCUGGAAAAUGGGAGUCAAGUGUGGGGAGUCGUUCACUUCAUUUGCAUGCUGCAAAACAGAGGGCGGAGGCACCAGGGAAAGGCACUUGAAUGAAGAAGAAAAAUGAGAACCAGAUUGUAACUUCGUCCCAAUCCACCUGCCAGAACUUUCCUUCAGGUGUCACACAUCCAUUUCCAUCCUAAUAUUAAACAAUAUGAUGAAAGAAAGCUUUACACCAAGUCUAAAUAGUUUUUAUUUUCGGGCAGUCUUUUAACAAAGCAAAGCAACCGUGUGAGUUAGGUCACCAGAGACACCAAGCAAUGGUGAAGGACCCCCUCCCCCCAAUUCUCUAUUCAACUAAACUUCCAUGCCCAAAAUGAUAGCUAUCAUUUUUUCCACGGUGUAUCUGCAAAUCCACCCACUGUCCCGGGGUGGCUGGGAGCUUUUUAAUGGGUUGAGAGUUGCUUUUUAAGGUGGUGGGUGAGCUGAGAUGGGUGACUGUGUCUUCAGGAGACACUACCAUUUGGUUUGAUUUUGGUUUGAUUUGCAGGUGUCAUCAAUAAACAGAGUUCUUCGCAACCUGGCUAGCGAAAAGCAACAGAUGGGCGCAGACGGCAUGUAUGAUAAACUAAGGAUGUUGAACGGGCAGACCGGAAGCUGGGGCACCCGCCCUGGUUGGUAUCCGGGGACUUCGGUGCCAGGGCAACCUACGCAAGAUGGCUGCCAGCAACAGGAAGGAGGGGGAGAGAAUACCAACUCCAUCAGUUCCAAUGGAGAAGAUUCAGAUGAGGCUCAAAUGCGACUUCAGCUGAAGCGGAAGCUGCAAAGAAAUAGAACAUCCUUUACCCAAGAGCAAAUUGAGGCCCUGGAGAAAGAGUUUGAGAGAACCCAUUAUCCAGAUGUGUUUGCCCGAGAAAGACUAGCAGCCAAAAUAGAUCUACCUGAAGCAAGAAUACAGGUAUGGUUUUCUAAUCGAAGGGCCAAAUGGAGAAGAGAAGAAAAACUGAGGAAUCAGAGAAGACAGGCCAGCAACACACCUAGUCAUAUUCCUAUCAGCAGUAGUUUCAGCACCAGUGUCUACCAACCAAUUCCACAACCCACCACACCUGUUUCCUCCUUCACAUCUGGCUCCAUGUUGGGCCGAACAGACACAGCCCUCACAAACACCUACAGCGCUCUGCCGCCUAUGCCCAGCUUCACCAUGGCAAAUAACCUGCCUAUGCAAGACUCAUUUCCCCUGGUGUGUCAGUUCCAGUUCAAGUUCCUGGAAGUGAACCUGAUAUGUCUCAAUACUGGCC